GACUCCGUCUCCCAUAAGGCACUGGGCCUUCUGCACCCGAACCCAAUAAUUAGAGGCCAUUUCACAUGGCGCCCACUCAGAGUUGUCAGGGCCCAAGAACAGGCUCCAGAUGUUGGCUGGAAAAAGGCGAGGACCAGCUGCCCGAGCUCUAAGGCCUGGGCGCUCUUUGGCGAGCCGCCCCUCCCCCGCCUCGGGCACCAUCAGAGAGAGAUCAGUGAAACAUCUAUGGGGAGCUGGAAGAUAAUUGAUGCAUCUUGGAGCCUCAUCACAGGGAAUGUCUUCUCUUCCGGUAACAACUCUCAGUACCAUACAAAGGAGUUCUGUGUCUAAUAAAGGGUCAGUUUGGAAGAAGCAUCUAUUAAUAUUUUCAGGGGUCCAUGGAUAUGAACAAGUCAAGCACCCAUGAAAAGUAGAAAGGAUUGGAAAAUUUGGGGAAUCAAAAGAUACGAAAGAAGAAUGGAGAACACCUUGAAUGAAUUCAAUAUAUGGUAGCACCACAGUACUGGCAACAUCAAGGCUACUGAAAAAAAAUGAGGGCAACAAAAGAGACCAGAAAAUCUCUCUGCUGAUUAAUACAUAAAGGAUCAUAUGUUGACAAAAGAACUGGAAGUAAUUUUAGAGAUCAUUUAUUAAAAUGCUUCCUGGUAAAAAAUGAGGAAACUAUGGUCCAGAGAGAUCAAAGGAAUUUAUUCAGGUUUAACACCUACAUAGUGGCAGACUUAGAAUUAAAGCCCAGUUCUAUGUCACCCAGUCCAGUGCCCAUGCUAUUGCCAGGGUAACUUCUAAGUCAAUCUCUUUCUGUCUCUCUCUGUCUCUGUCUCUGUCUCUGUCUGUCUCUCUGUCUCUGUCUCUGUCUCUGUCUCUGUCUCUGUCUUUGUCUCUGUCUGUCUGUCUGUCUGUCUGUCUGUCUGUCUGUCUCUCUCUCUCUCUUCAACAGGAAAAGUACAAUUACUAAGGAGUAGCUUGGUUCUUUUUUGCUAUUGCUUAGCUGAGUUCAGUUGUGUCUAAUUCUGCAUGAUCCCUUCUGGGGUUUUCUUAGGAAAAAUACUAGAAUGAUGGCCAUUUCCUUCUCUACUCAUUUUAUAGAUGAGGAAACUGAGGUACACAGGAUUAGGUGAU
RNAcentral lists this long non-coding RNA (1119 nucleotides) under Monodelphis domestica (gray short-tailed opossum). RNAcentral's name for it is "lncRNA (ENSMODG00000035729.2)". Lineage: Eukaryota; Metazoa; Chordata; Mammalia; Didelphimorphia; Didelphidae. The record is from RNAcentral.